RNAcentral lists this ribosomal RNA (253 nucleotides) under uncultured bacterium. RNAcentral describes it as "partial 16S ribosomal RNA". It matches the Rfam family "Bacterial small subunit ribosomal RNA", at positions 524 to 776 of the family's 1533-position model. The record is from RNAcentral.
UACGUAGGGGGCAAGCGUUGUCCGGAAUCAUUGGGUGUAAAGAGCGUGUAGGCGGUCCGGUAAGUCGGCUGUGAAAGUCCAGGGCUCAACCCUGGGAUGCCGGUCGAUACUGUCGGGCUUGAGUACGGAAGAGGCGAGUGGAAUUCCUGGUGUAGCGGUGAAAUGCGUAGAUAUCUGGAGGAACACCGGUGGCGAAGGCGGCAUCCUGGACCGGUAUUGACGCUGAUGCGCGAAAGCCAGGGGAGCAAACGGG